RNAcentral lists this ribosomal RNA (942 nucleotides) under Parmelia saxatilis. Its description in RNAcentral is "SSU rRNA". It matches the Rfam family "Bacterial small subunit ribosomal RNA", at positions 1 to 1178 of the family's 1533-position model. Lineage: Eukaryota; Fungi; Ascomycota; Lecanoromycetes; Lecanorales; Parmeliaceae. The record is from RNAcentral.
CCUUANACCUAGGGGGACCGGCAACUUGGAGGAAUGUAUANGAAUAGCUACUGGCAUCAUCCUUUUCUCAUUUUAUUCUUCUCGUUUUCUUCUUCUUAAGAAGAAAAUGAGAAGAAUAAAAAGAGAAAAGUAAAGAUGAUGCAAGAUCGACUAUGUCGAAUAAAAUUCUAGGUAGAAUUAUGAUAAUGACAUUGUCUGCCUAUGUGUCUUGACCAAAUUACGUGCCAGCAGUCGCGGUAAUACGUAGAAGACUAGUGUUAUUCAUGUUUAAUCGGUUUAAAGGGUACCUAGACGGUAAAUCAAGCUUUCAAAGAAAAAGAAGACAAAAUUGAUAGUAUAGUGAUAAUUAAAGGACUAAUUUACUAGAGUUACUUAUGAGGGGGUAUUAAAGUACUGCUGGUGUAGAGAUGAAAUUCUGUCAUACCUCUUUUCAAAAGAAAAAUGAUGGCACAGGUAUAGGCGAAGGCAUCCCCUUAUGUGAUAACUGACGUUGAGGGACGAAGGCUUUGUGUAGCGAACAGGAUUAGAUACCCCAGUAGUCUAAGCAGAAAAUGAUGAAUGUCAUAGAUUAGAUAUAUAAGUUUAUUCUAUAAAUGAAAGUGUAAGCAUUCCACCUCAUGAGUAAUUUGGCAACAUUGGAACUGAAAUCAUUAGACCGUUUCUGAAACCAGUAGUGAAGUAUGUUGUUUAAUUUGAUGUUCCGCAAAAAACCUUACCACAAUUUGAAUAUUUAUAUUUUUUUAUUGUUUUCUUAUUGUUUUCUUAUUAAUUUCUUUUAUUAAUGAAAAUAAAUAAAGAGGCAAUAAGAUAUAUUUACAAGCGUUGCACGGCUGUCUUCAGUUAAUGUCGCGAGACUUUGGUUAGUUCCAUUAAAUUAACGUAAACCCUUACUUUAUUUUUAUAUAGAGUAGUUCCCCGCUAUAUUGGAUAUGAUAACAGGGA